UAGGAUACAAGCCUGGGAACAUAGCCAUU
Molecule: non-coding RNA, 29 nt
Filed under: Mus musculus (house mouse)
Lineage: Eukaryota; Metazoa; Chordata; Mammalia; Rodentia; Muridae
Source: RNAcentral